This 549-nucleotide ribosomal RNA is filed under the name Microbacterium paraoxydans. RNAcentral describes it as "bacterial SSU rRNA". It matches the Rfam family "Bacterial small subunit ribosomal RNA", at positions 694 to 1238 of the family's 1533-position model. Lineage: Bacteria; Bacillati; Actinomycetota; Actinomycetes; Micrococcales; Microbacteriaceae. The record is from RNAcentral.
AAUUCAGGAGGAACACCGAUGGCGAAGGCCAUCUCUGGGCCGUAACUGACGCUGAGGAGCGAAAGGGUGGGGAGCAAACAGGCUUAGAUACCCUGGUAUUCCACCCCGUAAACGUUGGGAACUAGUUGUGGGGUCCAUUCCACGGAUUCCGUGACGCACCUAACGCAUUAAGUUCCCCGCCUGGGGAGUACGGCCGCAGGGCUAAAACUCAAAGGAAUUGACGGGGACCCGCACAACCGGCGGAGCAUGCGGAUUAAUUCGAUGCAACGCGAAGAACCUUACCAAGGCUUGACAUAUACGAGAACGGGCCAGAAAUGGUCAACUCUUUGGACACUCCUAAACAGGUGGUGCAUGGUUGUCGUCACCUCGUGUCGUGAGAUGUUGGGUUAACUCCCGCAACGAGCGCAACCCUCGUUCUAUGUUGCCUGCACGUAAUGGUGGGAACUCAUGGGAUACUGCCGGGGUCAACUCGGAGGAAGGUGGGGGAUGACUCCCAAAUCCACCAUGCCCCCUUAUGUCUUGGGCUUCACGCAUGCUACAAUGGCCGGU